GAUCUGGCUCAGGAUGAACGCUAGCUACAGGCUUAACACAUGCAAGUCGAGGGGCAGCAUGAUUGAAGCUUGCUUCAAUUGAUGGCGACCGGCGCACGGGUGAGUAACACGUAUCCAACCUGCCGAUAACUCGGGGAUAGCCUUUCGAAAGAAAGAUUAAUACCCGAUAGUAUAGUAUUUCCGCAUGGUUUCACUAUUAAAGAAUUUCGGUUAUCGAUGGGGAUGCGUUCCAUUAGAUAG
RNAcentral lists this ribosomal RNA (240 nucleotides) under uncultured bacterium. RNAcentral describes it as "partial 16S ribosomal RNA". It matches the Rfam family "Bacterial small subunit ribosomal RNA", at positions 15 to 248 of the family's 1533-position model. The record is from RNAcentral.